This 244-nucleotide ribosomal RNA is filed under the name uncultured Actinomycetales bacterium. RNAcentral's name for it is "partial 16S ribosomal RNA". It matches the Rfam family "Bacterial small subunit ribosomal RNA", at positions 89 to 334 of the family's 1533-position model. Lineage: Bacteria; Bacillati; Actinomycetota; Actinomycetes; Actinomycetales. The record is from RNAcentral.
GCUCGAGUGGCGAACGGGUGAGUAACACGUGAGUAACCUGCCCUUGACUUUGGGAUAACUUCAGGAAACUGGGGCUAAUACCGGAUAGGAGCUCCUGCUGCAUGGUGGGGGUUGGAAAGUUUCGGCGGUUGGGGAUGGACUCGCGGCUUAUCAGCUUGUUGGUGGGGUAGUGGCUUACCAAGGCUUUGACGGGUAGCCGGCCUGAGAGGGUGACCGGCCACAUUGGGACUGAGAUACGGCCCUG